Molecule: long non-coding RNA, 203 nt
Filed under: Nicotiana benthamiana
Lineage: Eukaryota; Viridiplantae; Streptophyta; Magnoliopsida; Solanales; Solanaceae
Description: long non-coding RNA (NBEN_LNC007584)
Source: RNAcentral
ACAAUAACUAGGUUAAGCCUGCUCAAACAAUGAAUUCAAAAACUAAAAAAAAUUAUUCCUUUUGGGGCCUUAAAAUUUUUGGGCCUAAAUAAAAGGCUUUACUGGCCUCAACAAAAUCAAGAAAAAUUACAAAAAAUUUAGAGAUUCAAUCAAAAUAAAAUAGCCAAAAGUAAGAACAAAGACACAAAUAAGAGGCAAGCAAA